GUGAGUGUAGCUCAGUGGUAGAGCAUGUUCUUAGCUUGCACAAGGUCCUGAGUUCAAUCCCCAGUACUUUCA
RNAcentral lists this transfer RNA (72 nucleotides) under Camelus bactrianus (Bactrian camel). It matches the Rfam family "tRNA". Rfam says of the family: Transfer RNA (tRNA) molecules are approximately 80 nucleotides in length. Their secondary structure includes four short double-helical elements and three loops (D, anti-codon, and T loops). Further hydrogen bonds mediate the characteristic L-shaped molecular structure. tRNAs have two regions of fundamental functional importance: the anti-codon, which is responsible for specific mRNA codon recognition, and the 3' end, to which the tRNAs corresponding amino acid is attached (by aminoacyl-tRNA synthetases). tRNAs cope with the degeneracy of the genetic code in two manners: having more than one tRNA (with a specific anti-codon) for a particular amino acid; and 'wobble' base-pairing, i.e. permitting non-standard base-pairing at the 3rd anti-codon position. RNAcentral also lists the same sequence under 2 other names. The record is from Rfam by way of RNAcentral. Lineage: Eukaryota; Metazoa; Chordata; Mammalia; Artiodactyla; Camelidae.